UGUGUGUGGCAAGGCCCCCUGUUCGCUUUCUUCACUUGAUACACACAGAUAGAUCACGUUGGACCUCCGUUUCGGUUGACCGAUCAGCUAUCAAUUACAGGCUGGUGUGACGGCCAGUCCCGUAGAACAGCCAAUAAAGAGACAGUGCACGCCUAGACUUUUCGGUCAUUUUCUUCCGCAUGUCUCUCUAGUUCUAUUCAUUUGAAAAACUUGUAGUAAGAGCCUCUUUAAACUCUUUCACUGCUCUUGUAGCCGUCGCUUGCACUAUUGCUGAUAACCUGACGGCAUAUACUGUAAUUGCUUAUCCUGCGCAACUGUGUGGAAAAGAUGAGUUCUUUGAGAAUCGUCUUUGGAGCUGCUGUAAUCGCGACGGUGAUGCAGGGCAGUUAUUGCCAAUCGACAGGGAGCUGUGUGCAGCUGAACACGUGCGACAAGUGCAUUUCAGGGGAUGCCUCUCUGAACAUUACCAAGUGUCUGUGGCUUCAGUGUGAUUCAGGGAACUCCAGCUGUGUGGAAAAAAGCGAGGCACCUGAAGGCUGUUCUCUCUUCAACGAUACAGGCAAAUGCUCCGGUGAACCAUCUCCAACUUCAGGCGGCUUGAGCCCCAGCUCAGAUGCACCUGCUCCUACAGAACCCGAGCCGGUAUACUCUCAGCCGAACUUCAACCUGGCAAGCUUCAUUGGGGGAAUCAUCCUGGUGCUUGGAAUUCAGUCAGCCAUCUUCUUUGUAAUGAGGUUUUUCAAGUCCAGAGACAGCACCUACCAGACUCUACCAGAUGACUGACAGCUGUAACAUCUCUGUCGUCACUCCGGGGUAAACCCUCCUGGACCCAUCUCAUCCUGCUGACUAUGCCAUUGUAAGAGAUCAGACAGACCACAAUAAAGAGUUGGGGCAUCAUCCUGGUAACUCUGUAUAACAGGAAUGCAGCAAAAACAAGAAAAUGAACAAUAACUGCAAAAAUGCCAUUUCAGACACGACUUUGAACUGUUUUCAAAAUGGGCAAACUUCUGGUCUUAUGCCCUUCCAGCAGGAAGAGGUGACUCCAGGCGAACGGACACCAGAAGUGAUUUCUGAGAUUUUACAGCAGUCAAUCAGCUGGUCUGCAGAAGGAGAAAGAGCAAAAGCAUUAGAACACAGUACCAACCCUGGAGUGGCAGGAUCUGAAGAAAGAAUUCUGGUAUGACAACGAAUUGACUGGUUGGGUGAAUUAUUUUCAGAACUUUUCAGACUUUACUUUUAGUCAGAUAACCUGAUCAUUGGAAUGUGGUAUGGUGGUUUUAGUCCACGCUGUCUCAAGACGACCAGUAAUGUUUCCAGAUCAACCCUCAAGAGAGAAUGAAAGUGAACCAAAAGAAAGGAUAUCAAACAAGACCUGUGCCAAUCCUAAUUUUCUCAGCAUUUUGCAAGAUUACAACAUUCCACAGGUGCUAUCAUCCUCACAGAUCAAACUGUCCAGUGGCCUCUGUAUGCUCAUUCUUCAAUAUGUGGUUCACAGUUAAGGUACCCUUGAUCCAUUAUACGAGUCAACAAUUAAAAACGGAAGAAAGAAAAACAGACAAUGGACACUGUGCAGAUGACAUGCAAAGUUUGGAGGUGGGCGUUAAAAAUUCUAACGGUGUGCUUUUCAAAAACACAGUAUGGCUACAGAAGGUGUUUUAUAGUACAUUGUUUAGAAAUAAUAUUUUAAGCAAGCUGUAAUGGACAUGCUACUGAAAAAGUAAAUGAUUUGUUCUUUGUAUUUUUCAUUUUACCAAGAACAAUUAGUAAACUCCUGCCUGUUUUCAUAUUUGCUCAUAUUUUAAGACAAUAGACUCCCAAUAUAUUCAUGUCCUAGCCAUAAAAUCCCCAUUUUACACCCAGUCUUCAUGCUAAAGUGUUGCUGUUGUUUAAAUUUAAUUUCUGGGUUUAAUGGAUGGGCCUUGGGCAGAAUGCAAUAUGAUAAGGCAUCAUGGCCUGUAAUUGCUAUACAGAACACCUUUUAAUAAUACUUUCCCAUAAAGAUACUAUAUAAAGUACUUGUCUUCAAUAAAAAAAAUCUACUCCUUGUGCUCCCUCUUCUGGUGGCAGGGAUUUUUAAAAUGAUUCCUAUUUUUACAAAGAGUCUAGUAUAUGUUUAAGAAUGAGCAGCAUGGCAGCUAGUGUGGAUCUCAUACCUCCAUGAAGCCAGCUCAGAUUGUCAGUUCACUGUCUGUGUAAGGUUUGCAGAUAAUCCCUUUGUCCAUGUGGAUUUUUCUGAGCACUUCUGUUUUAUUUUUCUUUCUCGCCAUCCAAAUGUGCACUCUUGGAUUAAUAUUAGUGAAUUUAAAUUGGCCUGGUUUGGGUGUAUGCUUUGAGUGUGGUCUUUGAUGGGCUGGAAUUCGAUCUGAUUCUGCUUUGUUCCUGACACUUUCAGGAUAGUGUUUUGCGAUGUCAAAGUUUUUCAUAGAUAAAGUGGAUGGAUAGAUGUACUCUGUUGAUAUCCAAGGGGAAAUUCACAUACUCCAGUAAUCACUCACAACAUGAAAUGCUCACAAACAAAAGUGCAAUAGUAAAAACCAAAGUGCACACUAAUGUUCAAGACCCAGAACUAUAGACGUACAGUAUACCCAGUGUAUGUUUAAUAUACUGUGCAGUGACCUUUAAAAAAAGUCCCUAUGAUAGUAAUAACUGACAUAUAAAUGUACAGUAAAUCACACAAUAUAGCUUAUUUUUAAGGUACAAGAAUGUAAAUUAAAAACAUGAUGAUUUGGUUUCCAUCACUUGCUUAUUCUGUGCCUCUAAGCGCUUAACUUAGCCUGCCUGCCUGUGAUCAUAAUCCUAGAAGCAUAAAAACUAGGCCUGGGAAUUGAUUAAAAAUUAAUCUGUUUAAUCACAUAAUUAUAUGAAAUUAGUCGCAAUUAAUCACAUCUAACAUUUAAACAUAAAAUCAUAAAGUAAUUACAAAUAAUCAUGAAGUAAGUAUAUAUUGAAUCACAAAAUUAAUUUAGAAUCAACACAAAAUAGCCUUUUAAAAUGUAAGGACAUCGUUUAAACUUAAACAAUGACCUGAAAUCUGACCUUUUAACAAAAUACUACUUAAGCAAGUACAACGUGAAUUUGAAUGCCUUCCUAAAAGGCAAGUUGGAAAGAAUGCAAUAAGAAAAUUAAGCCAGUGUAUUAGUUCUUAAAUUGGUAUGGCAUAUGAGACACAGACGUGUCAAAGUAAAAUUAAGCAAUCAAUAUCAUCUGUAGGUUUUGAAUGCACUGCUAAAGACUGACUUAAUUGAAAUAAGCAUCUCUUAAAUAGGCAUACUUUAAAACUUGUGUUAAAACUCCUCAAAUGCCAUCCACAAUUGUUCGUUACCAUCAAUGACUUUAUAAUUGUACUCUAAAUAAGUGUUUUUCAAUUGAUAUGCAAAGAAAGCUACUCAGGUGUGAUGUAUAGGACUGUCUGUAUGAGCAGGCAAAGGGAUGUAGCAGCUGGGAAAAUGCAUCCAAAGUGCUCACUAAGUACUGUGUCUGCGAAUGCCAACCUCCAGGCUGUUUUAUUUUUUUAGCUGCACCUUUACUCUCCCUUUCAGACAGUUUAGCAUGUCUAGGAGACUUAAUGGUUUUGUGCUUGGUAGAAUCAUGGCGUGUCUAUGGAUUCUUUGAGUUAUAAACAGUGUGCCACCAAAGAAAAACAGUUGGAAAACACUACUCAGCCUACACCCAUUGCUCCUAGCAUGCCAGAAAAGUUCAGUGUAGCAGCUAUCUCACUUAAAAUUCUGACACCAUGCAUUAUUUGGGUGGUUAUGUUGUGUUCUUUACAUGAAUUAGUAAAGGUAAUGCAAACUGGAAUAAUGGAUAGGGAUAAUCAUUACACUUCUGUUUCAUAGAAUAUUGCCAUUGUAUUAGGGCCGUAAGCACUGUAAGCUACCUGGCAGAAUGGCAAGUUAAGCACAGAGAUACUAGAGACGUUUUUUGGUUUUAGUGCCACUCAAAGAAAAUGUAUCUUGCAUGUAUGUGAUAUGACAUUGAUUCAGUCUUCUUACAGAAACAUGAUAUGAAAAAAGAAAAGAGAGAGUGUAAUUUUUUACCUUUGCUACCUUUCUUUAGCAUUGCUCCAAGACUACCCUAAACCCCCUUUCCUCUCACUCCUCUGCAUCUUUCUCAGUAUGUAUAAUCAAGGAAAUUAAUACCAGUGCCAUGUACUGACAUGUGGCAAGUUGUUGUUAAACGCAUAAAUUGAAACUUUUAAAUAAAAUUUUAUGUUUGAAACUUUUAAAGGUACUAUAUGAAUAUGGUACUGGAUAUUUAUGUAAUUCUUAAGGUUCACAUUUAACUUUUUUGUAUUGUUGUUCCAUAAUGUAAAAAAAAAAUUAAACAAUUAUGUGAGAAUGCCACCCUGACCAAAUUUAAACAAUUACAUGGGAAUGCCACCCUGACUAAAGCACUUCUGAUGCAAUUGCCUCGUUACCGGCUCUGGAUAUGACAAUAUUUGUUAACACAUUAAACAUGCCAGAUUAAUCACAAAAAUUAAUUUGGUAACUUUCCCAGGCCUAAUAAAAACAAAAGUACAGUACUCACAAGUAGCUGGUGUGUCCAAGUGCUAAAACUACAGGGGUGCAAUUGCAGUCCCCAACACCUUGACUCUCAGUGAGAAUCUGGAUGAGUCUUAAUGAUGGCCACCUUAAAGAAAGAUGCAAAUAGCUUCAUUAUGCAUGUCAGUUAGACGAACAACACAGCAGCACAAGAGUUAAUGCUGCUGUCUGACGGCUACAGAGAGCUGGGUUUUAAUUGCAUCUUGGGCACUUUUGCUGUGAAUUUGCACAUUGUCCACAUGUCCAUGUGAGGUUUUACUGGGCACGCUAUGGUGACUCACAAUGACUGGACAUUGAUGUACAGUGUACUUGAGUGUGCCCUCCAAAGGGCUUGGUCCGGUGUCUUUGACCAUAAAUUUGGAUCAAGGCAUUUCAGAGAAUGGAUGGAUAUAAAUUAGGUAGUGUGUACCCUUUUGGUUAAGGAAACAGACUUUGAGACACAAAGAUGCCACUGACCGUCUUUGUCAUCUUUAUUGAUGCCAUGUAAUCUGUGCAAAAAAACUGUAUACUGAUUUGUAUUUGGAUAAAAGCUUAAAACUACAUAAAUGAAAAACAUUAAUUGGGCAUUCCAAAUCAGGGAAGAAGACCAUACGUAAGUGAUGGGAUUUUAAUUAUUUACUUUCAUUUGCAUUUUUUUCCCCCAAGAUUGUUUAUUAUGAUCAUCAGGUAUUAAUUCAUGGAAAUGAACAUUCAGCUUCUUGGCUGAUGACUUUUUGUGAUUUGGUUUAUUAUGAAAGGCUGUAUGCAAAACUUUUGCAUGGAGUAGAAAGACAUUCAGUUAUUUAACUUAAAGAGACACCCUUUGAUAAUGUUGAGUUGCUUAUCUGGUUCCUUCAGUGUUUGUUUAUUCACUUUUUUAGGAUAAAGCCUUUCUUUCCAUUCUCUUAUUAAUUUUCUUUCUGUUUUUGGUUGUUUGGUUUGUGAUCUUUUUUUUAUAACCUAAUGUUUAAAGCCGUAAGUGUUUUUACAAAUGAGCAGUGAACAGUCUGCAAGACUUCAGGGCUAAGUUAGUUAAGCUUUAAGUGGACAGUUUAAAAAAGCAUUGUGAGUUUAUUUUUGAUAAUAUGCUUUAACUUUGUCUUAAAACCAUGUGUGCCUUCAAAUUGUUUUGUGACAUUCUUUAAUGUUCCACUUUGGAAUUUCUGAGAUGUAAUUUGUGUGCAGUAUUGAAAUAAAAUUCUUCUUUUUGGACUUAA
Molecule: RNA transcript, 5737 nt
Organism: Polypterus senegalus (gray bichir)
Lineage: Eukaryota; Metazoa; Chordata; Cladistia; Polypteriformes; Polypteridae
Gene: cd164l2
Gene name: CD164 sialomucin-like 2
Exons: 7
Source: RefSeq, a predicted model, not a curated record